UGGGGGAUAUUGCACAAUGGGGGAAACCCUGAUGCAGCGACGCCGCGUGUGGGAAGACGGUCCUCUGGAUUGUAAACCACUGUCCCCAGGGACGAAGAUGACGGUACCUGGGGAGGAAGCUCCGGCUAACUACGUGCCAGCAGCCGCGGUAAUACGUAGGGAGCGAGCGUUGUCCGGAAUUACUGGGUGUAAAGGGAGCGUAGGCGGGGAUGCAAGUUGGGUGUCAAAACUACCGGCUCAACUGGUAGUCGCACUCAAAACUGCAGCUCUUGAGUGAAGUAGAGGCAGGCGGAAUUCCUAGUG
Molecule: ribosomal RNA, 303 nt
Filed under: uncultured bacterium
Lineage: Bacteria
Description: bacterial SSU rRNA
Rfam family: Bacterial small subunit ribosomal RNA
Source: RNAcentral